RNAcentral lists this long non-coding RNA (250 nucleotides) under Macaca mulatta (Rhesus monkey). RNAcentral's name for it is "lncRNA (ENSMMUG00000052255.1)". Lineage: Eukaryota; Metazoa; Chordata; Mammalia; Primates; Cercopithecidae. The record is from RNAcentral.
UCCUAGUUGAAGAAACAUCCCUUUCCAAAUUUGACAAGGGGGAAGCGCUUCCUCUGGAGGGGCAUGCAGCACCUGGAGCAGUCAUGUCAGGCCUGCCUGAUUCCCAUCUUCUUGCCAGGCAUAUCUUUAUUUUUAAAUGCCCUGGAGAUCUUUGAAAGUGCAAGCUGAACAGGCUUCUUGCCCCAUGGACCCACUACAGGUGCAGUCACAGCGAACACGAUAUCAGACGCCAUGGAUAUGAUGGUAAUGC